Molecule: ribosomal RNA, 253 nt
Filed under: uncultured bacterium
Lineage: Bacteria
Description: partial 16S ribosomal RNA
Rfam family: Bacterial small subunit ribosomal RNA
Source: RNAcentral
GACGAACCGUGCGAACGUUGUUCGGAAUCACUGGGCUUAAAGGGCGCGUAGGCGGGCUGUCAAGUCUGGGGUGAAAUGCCGCGGCUCAACCGUGGAACUGCCUUAGAUACUGACGGCCUCGAGGAAGGUAGGGGCAUGCGGAACUGUAGGUGGAGCGGUGAAAUGCGUUGAUAUCCGGAGGAACACCGGUGGCGAAGGCGGCUUCCUGGACCGACACUGACGCUGAGGCGCGAAAGCUAGGGGAGCAAACGGG